GGACCUUAAGCAUGUACGACGGCAACGCGACGACGACAGCCAAAACAAAUCAAUUAUUGCGAAGGUGUUGUGCAUAUUAUCCACAACAUCUACAGUGUAUAUGGAUUGAGUUCAGUUUGAAGAGAUUAAAACAAAGGUUUUAUGGUUAAAAACGCUUCUGCUGAGCAAAUUUGUAGUUUCACUUGUCGCGUCUUGACAUGUUUGCGUUGUACACGAGACGUGAAAAUCUCUGGUUUGCCGUUGUAAAAAGCCCUAACACAAC
This is a non-coding RNA of Paramuricea clavata, 262 nucleotides long. The record is from the annotation of a GenBank genome assembly. NCBI's taxonomy places the organism in Eukaryota, Metazoa, Cnidaria, Anthozoa, Malacalcyonacea, Plexauridae.